Molecule: long non-coding RNA, 918 nt
Filed under: Homo sapiens (human)
Lineage: Eukaryota; Metazoa; Chordata; Mammalia; Primates; Hominidae
Description: HSALNT0379441
Source: RNAcentral
GCAAACUUGUCCACCCCCAACCCACCCGGACGGCCGGGCCGCCGCCUCCUCUGGGCCUCGUCUCCCCUUCAAGCCCCCGGCCUUGUGGGGAAGGGGGAAUCCUUGACGCAUUUUACAGACGGCACAUAGGGUCGGGGCAGUGCUUUAACCGGAGACCAGGAGCCUGACUCUUCCAGGGCUCUGUGAGACAGCCUGGUGCCUGGCGGGGGUGACACAGCCCCACUGUCUGCCCCGCGUUUACAGCCAGGAACCACACCUGAGCCAUUUCCAAGGGUGACAUGUGUCACAGAACUGUGGGGAAGGGGCUAUCCAGAGAUUCCCAGUAGGAGACACGGGGAGACCUGCAGGAAUGAUCUCUCGCAGCACCCAAGUCUGCACCCUGCUUCACUCACUCAGCAAUCUGUCCAGGAGCUCCUUCAAUGUCAAGACAUCCAGAAAGAUCUGUCUUCCUCCUUUUCCAGGCCCCUGUGCAGGAACCCCCUGCACCUGGUCCCCCGUGAUGGGUGCUCAGGUUUUGGCAGUUAUGAAUAGACGUGCUUUGGUUGUGUGAACAUAAAUAUUUCACUCCUUUGGGUGAAUACCAAGGAGCACCGUUGCUAGACUACAUGCAAGAAGAUGAGAAAGCUGUGAGGACACUCAGUCUUCCACGGGGUGGAUACUAACCAAAAUCACAAGCAGCUUGAGCUGGAAGGACCUGGGAGCCGGGAGAGAUGCCGGAGGAGUCCCGCGCGCUGCCUGUCACAGCUGUGUGACUUCGAGACAGGGCUCUGGCCCCCUGGGCCUCAGUGUCCUCCCCUGGAAAAUGGCUCAUUCAUUUCUCAGACGGGAUCUCGCUAUGUCACCGGGCGCCAUGGCUCAAGCCUGUAAUCCCAGCACUUUGGAAGUCCGAGGCGGGCGGAUCACGAGGCCAGGAGUUCA